GCCUUGCAGGAAAUCAUCCCCUCCCCCAUCCCCCUCAAAAGCUAAAUGGUCGGCCGGCCCCUAAGAAGAAUAGAAUACAAUACCAAACAUAAACUACUUUGUAGCCUGCUCGGAUACGUAUUGCCAUGGUCGUAGGAAGAUCUUGGGGGGGGGGGGGCUCAUAUUCAUAUAUUCAUGUUCGCAGACCGUAAAAACAAUCAAAUUCAAAAGAAGUAAAUGAUGCAGAACACAAAUAUUUGAAUAUGAGCUCCUGCCGCCCCCCCGCCGCCAAUUAUCUACCUUUCUAUGCCCAUGGCCAUGCAG
Molecule: non-coding RNA, 303 nt
Organism: Paramuricea clavata
Lineage: Eukaryota; Metazoa; Cnidaria; Anthozoa; Malacalcyonacea; Plexauridae
Source: the annotation of a GenBank genome assembly